Molecule: ribosomal RNA, 87 nt
Filed under: Triticum aestivum (bread wheat)
Lineage: Eukaryota; Viridiplantae; Streptophyta; Magnoliopsida; Poales; Poaceae
Description: partial small subunit ribosomal RNA
Source: RNAcentral
CAACAGAUCCACUUUGAAGUUGACUUAUUCGCUUGGCCAAUCGUCGGAAUGUGUACGAGAUACCAUAAGGGCCCAAUAUCUCAAUAG